UGGUAAGUUUUUAAGGGCACACGGUGGAUGUCUUGGCACCAGGAGCCGAUGAAGGACGUAGGAGCCUGCGAUAAGCCUCGAGGAGCUGGCAACCGAGCUGUGAUUCGAGGAUUUCCGAAUGGGGUAACCCGGCUGGAGGCAAGUCCAGUCACCUGCACCUGAAUAUAUAGGGUGUUGGGAGGGCACGACGGGAAGUGAAACAUCUCAGUACCGUCAGGAAGAGAAAACAACAGUGAUUCCGUGAGUAGUGGCGAGCGAAAGCGGAUGAGGCCAAACCGGGCGUGUGUGAUAGCUGACAGGCGUUGCAUGUCCGGGGUUGUGGGAGCUGUUUUCGGCGCGCUGUCGAGUGUCGGGUGAGUCAGAAAAUCAUGUCAUAGUCGAACGUCAUUGAAUGGGCGACCGUAGAGGGUGUUAGUCCCGUAGACGAAAUGUCAUGGUCUCACUUAAUGGUUUCCCAAGUAGCACGGGGCUCGUGGAAUCUCGUGUGAAUCUGGCAGGACCACCUGCUAAGCCUAAAUACUCCCUGGUGACCGAUAGCGGACUAGUACCGUGAGGGAAAGAUGAAAAGUACCCCGGGAGGGGAGUGAAAUAGUACCUGAAACCGUGUGCCUACAAUCCGUCGGAGCCUUGCGGGGUGACGGCGUGCCUUUUGAAGAAUGAGCCUGCGAGUUAGUGGUGUGUGGCGAGGUUAACCCGUGUGGGGUAGCCGUAGCGAAAGCGAGUCCGAAUAGGGCGAUCUUUAGUCGCAUGCUCUAGACCCGAAGCGGAGUGAUCUACCCAUGGCCAGGUUGAAGCGCGGGUAAGACCGCGUGGAGGACCGAACCCACCAGGGUUGAAAACCUGGGGGAUGAGCUGUGGGUAGGGGUGAAAGGCCAAUCAAACUCCGUGAUAGCUGGUUCUCCCCGAAAUGCAUUUAGGUGCAGCGUUGCGUGUUUCUUGCCGGAGGUAGAGCUACUGGAUGGCUAAUGGGCCCUACAAGGUUACUGACGUCAGCCAAACUCCGAAUGCCGGUAAGUGAGAGCGUGGCAGUGAGACUGCGGGGGAUAAGCUUCGUAGUCGAGAGGGAAACAGCCCAGAUCACCAGCUAAGGCCCCUAAGCGUGUGCUAAGUGGGAAAGGAUGUGGAGUUGCUGUGACAACCAGGAGGUUGGCUUAGAAGCAGCCACCCUUUAAAGAGUGCGUAAUAGCUCACUGGUCAAGUGAUUCCGCGCCGACAAUGUAGCGGGGCUCAAGUACACCGCCGAAGCUGUGGCAUUUGUUCAUGACCCUAGACCGGCUUGAUCCGGCUUUCAGGGGAACAGAUGGGUAGGGGAGCGUCGUGUGGCGAGUGAAGCGUCGGGGUGACCCAGGCGUGGACGCCACACGAGUGAGAAUGCAGGCAUGAGUAGCGAAAGACGGGUGAGAAACCCGUCCGCCGAAUGACCAAGGGUUCCAGGGCCAGGCUAAUCCGCCCUGGGUAAGUCGGGACCUAAGGCGAGGCCGACAGGCGUAGUCGAUGGACAACGGGUUGAUAUUCCCGUACCGGCGUAGAACCGCCCAUAGCGAACCCAGCGAUACUAAACUCGUGAUGCUCUGCCGGCUUUCGGGCCGAAGGAGUUGAGCCUGUGACCUGGACUGGUAGUAGUUAAGCGAUGGUGUGACACAGGAAGGUAGCCUCCGCGUGGCGAUGGUUGUCCACGUUUAAGCAUGUAGGGCGAGCUGUAGGCAAAUCCGCAGUUCUUUCUUUGAUGAUGAGCCUGAGAUGUGAUGAUGACCGCAUUGGCGGGAAGUGGGUGAUCCUAUGCUGUCGAGAAAAGCAUCUAGCGAGGUUCGAGCCGCCCGUACCCUAAACCGACUCAGGUGGUCAGGUAGAGAAUACUAAGGCGAUCGAGUGAAUCGUGGUUAAGGAACUCGGCAAAAUGCCCCCGUAACUUCGGGAGAAGGGGGGCCUGAGGCGUGACCUGGACUUGCUCCGGUGAGCGUUUGAGGGCCGCAGAGACCAGGGAGAAGCGACUGUUUACUAAAAACACAGGUCCGUGCGAAGUCGCAAGACGAUGUAUACGGACUGACGCCUGCCCGGUGCUGGAACGUUAAGGGGACCGGUUAGCUCGUAAGGGCGAAGCUGAGAACUUAAGCGCCAGUAAACGGCGGUGGUAACUAUAACCAUCCUAAGGUAGCGAAAUUCCUUGUCGGGUAAGUUCCGACCUGCACGAAUGGCGUAACGACUUCUCCGCUGUCUCAACCGCGAACUCGGCGAAAUUGCACUACGAGUAAAGAUGCUCGUUACGCGCAGCAGGACGGAAAGACCCCGGGACCUUUACUAUAGCUUGGUAUUGGUGUUCGGUACGGCUUGUGUAGGAUAGGUGGGAGACUGUGAAGCCGGCACGCUAGUGUUGGUGGAGUCGACGUUGAAAUACCACUCUGGUCGUUCUGGAUGUCUAACUUUGGUCCGUGAUCCGGAUCAGGGACAGUGCCUGGUGGGUAGUUUAACUGGGGCGGUUGCCUCCUAAAGAGUAACGGAGGCGCCCAAAGGUUCCCUCAGCCUGGUUGGCAAUCAGGUGUCGAGUGUAAGUGCACAAGGGAGCUUGACUGUGAGACCGACAGGUCGAGCAGGGACGAAAGUCGGGACUAGUGAUCCGGCAGUGGCUUGUGGAAGCGCUGUCGCUCAACGGAUAAAAGGUACCCCGGGGAUAACAGGCUGAUCUUGCCCAAGAGUCCAUAUCGACGGCAUGGUUUGGCACCUCGAUGUCGGCUCGUCGCAUCCUGGGGCUGGAGUAGGUCCCAAGGGUUGGGCUGUUCGCCCAUUAAAGCGGUACGCGAGCUGGGUUUAGAACGUCGUGAGACAGUUCGGUCCCUAUCCGCUGCGCGCGUUGGAAACUUGAGAAGGGCUGUCCCUAGUACGAGAGGACCGGGACGGACGAACCUCUGGUGUGCCAGUUGUCCUGCCAAGGGCACCGCUGGUUAGCUACGUUCGGAAGGGAUAACCGCUGAAGGCAUCUAAGCGGGAAGCUCGCUUCAAGAUGAGGUUUCCAUGCACCCUCGAGGUGUGAGAGGCUCCCAGCUAGACUACUGGGUUGAUAGGCCGGAUGUGGAAGCAAGGACUGAAGACUUGUGAAGCUGACCGGUACUAAUAUGCCGAUGACUUACUCAC
RNAcentral lists this ribosomal RNA (3129 nucleotides) under Kineosporia succinea. RNAcentral describes it as "23S ribosomal RNA". It matches the Rfam family "Bacterial large subunit ribosomal RNA". Lineage: Bacteria; Bacillati; Actinomycetota; Actinomycetes; Kineosporiales; Kineosporiaceae. The record is from RNAcentral.